RNAcentral lists this ribosomal RNA (362 nucleotides) under uncultured cyanobacterium. Its description in RNAcentral is "bacterial SSU rRNA". It matches the Rfam family "Bacterial small subunit ribosomal RNA", at positions 408 to 784 of the family's 1533-position model. Lineage: Bacteria; Bacillati; Cyanobacteriota. The record is from RNAcentral.
AGGAAGGCUCUUGGGUUGUAAACUCCUUUUCUCAGGGAAGAACAAAAUGACGGUACCUGAGGAAUCAGCAUCGGCUAACUCCGUGCCAGCAGCCGCGGUAAUACGGAGGAUGCAAGCGUUAUCCGGAAUCAUUGGGCGUAAAGCGUUCGUAGGUGGCUGGUCAAGUCUGUCGUCAAAGACCGGGGCUCAACCCCAGAAAGGCGGUGGAAACUGACAAGCUAGAGUGCGGUAGGGGUAGAGGGAAUUCCCGGUGUAGCGGUGAAAUGCGUAGAGAUCGGGAAGAACACCGGUGGCGAAAGCGCUCUGCUGGGCCUGCACUGACACUGAGGGACGAAAGCUAGGGGAGCGAAUGGGAUUAGAUA